RNAcentral lists this long non-coding RNA (417 nucleotides) under Gossypium raimondii (Peruvian cotton). RNAcentral's name for it is "long non-coding RNA (GRAI_LNC008234)". Lineage: Eukaryota; Viridiplantae; Streptophyta; Magnoliopsida; Malvales; Malvaceae. The record is from RNAcentral.
GGGUUUUAGAAGGUGAAUGGCGUCGGGCCGUAGGCGUCGUUUUCGGUGUCGGUAAUGGGUUUUGGUUUUGGUAAGAAACGCAGCUCUUUGAGUUGAGAGGCUUAUGAGAAAUGUUCUUUUUUUUACGCUUUUUAGGGUUUUUUUAGGGAAAAAAAUAAAGGGGAUCGGGGUAGGGGAGAAAUGGUUUGGGAAAAAUAAAAUGAGAAAAAUAAAAAGAGAUUCCAGGUGGGAUUUAGGGUUUCCGGGGUGGGGGAAUCGAUUUUGGGAAAAAGAGAGAUUUCAUUUGAAAUUUUGGGAUAAAAAAAUAUAAUUACAAAGCCACGUGGUUUUGUAAAAAUAUGUUGUGGCAUUUGGAAAAAAAACGUUAUUAUUGCUCGACUUUUAGUGGCGUUUGGACCAAAAACGUCAUUAUUGCUU